UGUCGGGGGCCUGUGAAGGGCGGGACUUAGUUCAGACCGUAGGAGACGGAGCGUGAAGAAACGCGAGAACAUGAGAGAGGACAUUACGCUGCUCUAACUUCGUUUUAUUCUCAGUAAAUACAAUAUAUUGCAAGAAUUAAGACCCAGCGGGAUUGCGACUCAGUGUAGCCUAAACCAGCCGGACUGUCAGCCGUGUCUGGAGACGUUUGAGUGAGCAUUGUUGCUAAAUUAGCUCAACUGUUAGCACGUGAAACUGAGUUAGCUGACUAGCGUGCGCCUCCUGGAGCGGAAGGACCUGCGCCAGGCUGCUUGUGGGAAGCCUGGGUUUAUUUACAAGUGUCUGAUGUGCGGACAUCGCCGCUCGUGCUGCUGCGGUAGAGGUUGCUCGGGAAAUGCCGCCAGGGACUUCCUGCACGUCGACAGGGCUUCUCUUCUUCCUUCUGCUCGCUGCGGUGUCGGGGGUGCGAAUGGACCGGUACCACCAGCUGUCAGAGCUUCCAAGGGACCGUGAGUACGAACAAUUCUCCACCGGAGGGUUACACAUGAGCUCCAACAGCGCGCCAACGAACAUGGGUAAUUACGGUACAGCCCCCCGUUCAUGUAUCUGGGCUGCAUAUGUGUUGCCGUGGUGGUGACUUCCGCCUCCGUCCUCCACACAUUGUAAACAAACAUGUCAGCGUUGGAUUUCGUUGCCAAGAGGAAGAGCAAGUCCGUUGUGUGGAAGCAGCUUCGACGCUUCGGAUGAAGAGCAAGAUACUCCACGUUCUAAAGUCUGUCUCCGAGUUAAAAACCACAGCACGCCUAACUUAUUUCAACACCUCCAGAGAAGCCACGUACCGGAAUGGCAGCAGUGUGUUGCUCAAGAGAACGUGGAUGCGGCUACACCACCACCAACUCCGAAGCAAGCAACUCUGCCGGUUUUGUUUUCACGUGGUGUACCACAAGACAUGACAAGACCGAAAGGAGGUGGAAAAUUUUUACGGAUGCAGUCGCGUUUCACAUCGCAGUAGACACGGCCCCGAUAUAUACAGCUGGCUUCCAACAUUUGUUUCAUGUGCUGGACCCCCGCUACAAGCUGCCAGGCCAAUGGGGAAAUUAUUUGCAAAAUGUUCAAUAAAAAAA
Paralichthys olivaceus (Japanese flounder) is the source of this 1122-nucleotide non-coding RNA. Lineage: Eukaryota; Metazoa; Chordata; Actinopteri; Pleuronectiformes; Paralichthyidae. The record is from RefSeq and is a predicted model, not a curated record.